RNAcentral lists this ribosomal RNA (160 nucleotides) under Cylindrospermopsis raciborskii S06. RNAcentral describes it as "partial 16S ribosomal RNA". It matches the Rfam family "Bacterial small subunit ribosomal RNA", at positions 1 to 170 of the family's 1533-position model. Lineage: Bacteria; Bacillati; Cyanobacteriota; Cyanophyceae; Nostocales; Aphanizomenonaceae. The record is from RNAcentral.
AAAACGGAGAGUUUGAUCCUGGCUCAGGAUGAACGCUGGCGGUAUGCUUAACACAUGCAAGUCGAACGGGAUGCUUAGGCAUCUAGUGGCGGACGGGUGAGUAACGCGUGAGAAUCUGGCUCCAGGUCGGGGAUAACAGUUGGAAACGACUGCUAAUACC